Molecule: ribosomal RNA, 405 nt
Filed under: Bacillota bacterium
Lineage: Bacteria; Bacillati; Bacillota
Description: Firmicutes bacterium partial 16S ribosomal RNA
Rfam family: Bacterial small subunit ribosomal RNA
Source: RNAcentral
UCGGGAAUUUUGCCCAAUGGACGAAAGUCUGAGGCAGCAACUCCGCGUGAGGGAUGAAGGCCUUCGGGUCGUAAACCUCUUUUCCCAGGGAAGAUCCAAGACGGUACCUGGGGAAUAAGCCACGGCUAACUACGUGCCAGCCGCCGCGGUAAUACGUAGGUGGCGAGCGUUGUCCGGAUUUACUGGGCGUAAAGCGCGCGCAGGCGGCCGGCCAGGUCCGAUGUGAAAUCUUCCGGCUUAACUGGAAAACGGCAUCGGAUACUGGUCGGCUGGAAGGUAGGGGAGGGUAGCGGAAUUCCCGGUGUAGUGGUGAAAUGCGUAGAUAUCGGGAGGAACACCAGUGGCGAAAGCGGCUACCUGGCCCGCUGUUGACGCUGAGGCGCGAAAGCUAGGGGAGCGAACGGG